Molecule: ribosomal RNA, 440 nt
Filed under: uncultured bacterium
Lineage: Bacteria
Description: partial 16S ribosomal RNA
Rfam family: Bacterial small subunit ribosomal RNA
Source: RNAcentral
CCUACGGGAGGCAGCAGUAGGGAAUGUUGCGCAAUGGGCGAAAGCCUGACGCAGCAACGCCGCGUGAACGAGACGCACCUUGGGGUGUAAAGUUCCGUCAGUGGGGACGAAAAAUGACGGUACCCACAGAGUAAGCACCGGCUAACGCCGGGCCAGCAGCCGCGGUAAUACGGAGGGUGCAAGCGUUGUCCGGAAGCAGUGGGCGUAAAGAGUUCGUAGGCGGCAUGUAAAGUCAGGUGUUAAAGGCGCAGGCUCAACCUGUGGAUGGCUCUUGAUACUUGCAAGCUGGAGUGCGGUAGAGGUAAAGGGAAUUCCUGGUGUAGCGGUGAAAUGCUUAGAUAUCAGGAGGAACAUCGGUGGCGUAGGCGCUUUACUGGGCCGUAAUUGACGCUGAGGAACGAAAGCCAGGGUAGCAAAUAGGAUUAGAUACCCUUGUAGUC